CAGUAGCCGCGGUAAUACGUAUGUCACGAGCGUUAUCCGGAUUUAUUGGGCGUAAAGCGCGUCUAGGUGGUUAUGUAAGUCUGAUGUGAAAAUGCAGGGCUCAACUCUGUAUUGCGUUGGAAACUGUAUAACUAGAGUACUGGAGAGGUAAGCGGAACUACAAGUGUAGAGGUGAAAUUCGUAGAUAUUUGUAGGAAUGCCGAUGGGGAAGCCAGCUUACUGGACAGAUACUGACGCUGAAGCGCGAAAGCGUGGGUAGCAAACAGGAUUAGAUACCCCGGUAGUCCCUGUCUCUUAUACA
Molecule: ribosomal RNA, 301 nt
Filed under: uncultured bacterium
Lineage: Bacteria
Description: partial 16S ribosomal RNA
Rfam family: Bacterial small subunit ribosomal RNA
Source: RNAcentral